RNAcentral lists this microRNA precursor (79 nucleotides) under Otolemur garnettii (small-eared galago). RNAcentral describes it as "miRNA (ENSOGAG00000027514.1)". Lineage: Eukaryota; Metazoa; Chordata; Mammalia; Primates; Galagidae. The record is from RNAcentral.
GUGCUAGGCCCUGGGCAGACGAGACAGAUCAGUCAUGGUUCCUGCCCUCCAGGAGCUCACAGUCUAAUGAGGGAGAAGA